RNAcentral lists this ribosomal RNA (596 nucleotides) under uncultured bacterium. Its description in RNAcentral is "bacterial SSU rRNA". It matches the Rfam family "Bacterial small subunit ribosomal RNA", at positions 240 to 827 of the family's 1533-position model. The record is from RNAcentral.
AUUAGGUAGUUGGUGGGGUAAAGGCCUACCAAGCCGACGAUCUGUAGCGGGUCUGAGAGGAUGAUCCGCCACACUGGGACUGAGACACGGCCCAGACUCCCACGGGAGGCAGCAGUGGGGAAUUUUGGACAAUGGGGGAAACCCUGACGCAGCAACGCCGCGUGAGUGAUGAAGGCUUUCGGGUCGUAAAGCUCUGUCUAGAGGGAAGAAGUGAUAUUUGGCUAAUACCCAGAUUUCUUGACGGUACCUCUGAAGGAAGCACCGGCUAACUCCGUGCCAGCAGCCGCGGUAAUACGGAGGGUGCAAGCGUUGUUCGGAAUUAUCGGGCGUAAAGCGCGUGUAGGCGGUUUGUUAAGUCUGAUGUGAAAGCCCUGGGCUCAACCUGGGAAGUGCAUUGGAAACUGGCGGACUUGAAUACGGGAGAGGGUAGUGGAAUUCCGAGUGUAGGAGUGAAAUCCGUAGAUAUUCGGAGGAACACCGGUGGCGAAGGCGGCUACCUGGACCGAUAUUGACGCUGAGACGCGAAAGCGUGGGUAGCAAACAGGAUUAGAUACCCUGGUAGUCCACGCCGUAAACGAUGAGUACUAGGUGUUGCG